RNAcentral lists this long non-coding RNA (803 nucleotides) under Marmota monax (woodchuck). The record is from RNAcentral. Lineage: Eukaryota; Metazoa; Chordata; Mammalia; Rodentia; Sciuridae.
AUUAGAUUCAGUUUAUUCUUUUUUUGGCACAAAUGUUGCAUAAGUAAUUAUGUCAUUUUGUUUUAUUAUUAGGGUUAUUAAUUUUCACCACUUGAGUAAGAUAGUGUUCAUUUGGUUUCUCUACUCUGAAGAUACCAAUUUCCUUUUCUAAAUCAGAAGAUUACUAUUGACCCCAAAUUUAAGCAUACACUUGUGACUCUUGCUUCAAUUAACUGUGGCUAUGAUGGUUGAAAUAUGGUGAUUUUCUAAUGUUAUCAUUCAUCUCACACUCAUUAGUUUAUACUCUAAUGAUAAGUUUUCCUUUGCUUAUUAUCUGAACAGAUUCAUAGAUUCUUAUUUCACUCAGUGAGUUUAAAUGACAUUGCUAUCGUAUUUAUUCUAAUGUUACAGUUGUCCCACAUUUGGCCAGUGGGAGCUUCUUCAAGAUGACACCUUUCAAGGCAAGAUACACUUGCUUUGCAGAAAGUAAAACAUAAAACCCAAGACAAUAUGGAAAGUGCAUUCUCUUGUGCCCUUCUCAGUGCAUGGAUGGGAGACUAGCAGAGUUUGGACAAGACAAACCAGUCAUCAGGAGACAAGGGCAAAGUCUAGAUUACUGGAUUUAUCUUACUGUAUUAAAAAUCCUUACUCUAAUAAGGAGAGUAACUAAGAACAGAGUAGGGACGAAGAGCAUGAGAAGAAGAUUAACAUUAAACAGGGAUGAGAGGUGGGAGGGAAAGGGAGAGAGAAGGGAAAUUGCAUGGAAAUGGAAGGAGACCCUCAGGGUUAUACAAAAUUACAUACAAGAGGAAGUGAGGGGAAAG